This 328-nucleotide ribosomal RNA is filed under the name uncultured eukaryote. Its description in RNAcentral is "partial 18S ribosomal RNA". It matches the Rfam family "Eukaryotic small subunit ribosomal RNA", at positions 1470 to 1796 of the family's 1831-position model. The record is from RNAcentral.
CCCUUAGAUGUCCGGGGCUGCACGCGCGCUACACUGAAGGAAUCAGCGUGCUAAAACCAUUGUCGAAAGGCAUUGGUAAACCCAUUAAAAUCCUACGUGAUUGGGAUCGGGAAUUGCAAUUAUUUCCCUUGAACGAGGAAUUCCCAGUAAGUGUGGGUCAUAAGCUCGCGUUGAUUACGUCCCUGCCCUUUGUACACACCGCCCGUCGCUGCCCGGGACUGAGCCGUUUCGAGAAAAGCGGGGACUGCUGCUGUCGGGGCUUUCGGGCCUUGGCUUCGGUGGAAACCACUUUAAUCGCAGUGGCUUGAACCGGGCAAAAGUCGUAACA